UCUGUCUCCGAGAUUUCAAAACGUGGCGUGGGAGGCAGGAAGGAGCGGGAAGACGGCUGGAGGAGGGAGGAGCCCGGGCCGCGCGGCUGAGAUUCCCAAGGGAGGGACUGAGCGGCCAGGAUCUCUCACUUGCACGCGCACGUGCGCGUGCACACACACACACGGAUGCGCAGGCACAACUGGGCAGGGCCCGCGGGUGCCCUCCUCGGGUUUGGUUUACAGCCUGGGCCAGGAGGCUCGGGGCCUGGCAGGACCCCCAACACCCCUGGCCACGAUCCUGAUGCCACACAGACAAGACCGGUGCCUGGGCCGGGCCGUGGGAACACCCGGUUCCCCCUCCCGGGCACACACGCUCACGCGCGCCCAGCAAAGCCGGCUGCAGCCGGAAAUGGGAAGAACCAGAAGCGCCGCACCAGGGAGCCCCUCCUUUGGCGGGGGACACAUGUACAUGACAGCCCCUCCCCUGAACCCACGCGCCCCACCGGACCCUCAACAACCCCCAAGGAGAGGAGGCCUUUGUGACUCAAAUAACUUAGGCAAGAAGGACUAUGGGGUCCCCGCCGGUGUUCCCGGGCAGGGCAGGCGGCGGCCCGGUGUUAUCUGUUCAACGUCCUGCCGGGGCCCAGGCCCCCGUUGUGGCUGGAGGGCGGGAAGGCCUCGGGCCUGUGCAGAGGCGGCGGGGACUGGGGCGCGGGGUGCGGGCCGGGCCGGCCGGGCGGCUGCUGCAGGUUCAGGAUGCUGUCGAUGGCGCUCUGCAGGUGCUCCGUGAGCGCGUCGUCCUGCGGGCUGUCGCUGGAGAAGCUGGCCUGGUCCAUGUCGGGUGACUCGGACUUGCGCCGCUUGGCAGGCGGCGCGGGGGCUGCGUCCCAACCGGGGUCGGGGUCCGGGGCGCUGGGGGCCGCGGGCUCGGGCGCUGCCGCCUUGCGCAGGCGCUGGUACAACUCGUCCUCCACCGCCGCCAGCUCGCGGAUGAGCCCGCUGGUGGCCUCUUCGGCGCGCCCGCCCACAUUCUCGCGGUAAGUCUUGCGCAGCGGCAGGCGCGGGCCGUGCGUGCCGGGCCCCGGCCCCGGCCCAGGUCCCGGCCCCGGCCCCGGCCCGGACGGCUUGCGCUCUCGCUCGGGGGCGGGGGACGCGCGCUCGGCCGUGCCGUUGACCUGGCUAGCGGUGGGCGGAGGCUGGUGCACUGGGUCGAGCGCCGUGUUGUGCACCACCUUGCUGAGCCCCGCCUCCUGCUUGAUCUUCAGCUUCAGGCCGAUGCGGCUGCGCGCCUCGUAUGUCUUGAUGGGCGGGCGGUUGCGUGAUGGCAUCGGGCCGUCCUCGUCGGCGUCCAGGGACGAGGCCGCGCAGGACGACAGGGACGGGGACGGCAAGGUCGCGGACGAGCUGUUUAUCCAAGGCAAGGGUGGUCUUCUCCUCCUGAAUAAACAUGCGGUCUAUCAUCACCAUCUCCGCUGAGGGGCUCACUCGCUGGGAGAAGAAAAGAUCCCCAAGUGAAAAGGCAAAGAGAUGACAGACGUGUCACCGCGCCCAGCCCCCCACUGUCCCUGCGAUGUGACCAUCUCCCUCCCGACCUCCUUUCCGGCAGAGGGGCCGGGUGGGAUGUGGGCCCUACCCGGGACUCCUCCAGGAGCAACAACCGGUACUUAUUGAGCAUGGCAUGGGUGCGUUUCAGCAGCUGUGUGGAGACCGUCUCAAACUCCUCGUCCACUGCCAGGAAGAGAAGGAGUGCAGGGCCAGGAUGUUGGGGGGCUGCACACUGCCCAUGCACCCCGAGCCGGGCAGGCAACUGCAGCACAGGGGCUCAGUGGUUUCCACGAGCUGAUGGCCCAGCCAGGGCCUUGGGGACAUGCGGGGAGGGAGGCCUCACCUUUGUGGUAGUCGCUAGGGGAAGGGAGGGCGCCCUGGUAGACGUGGUAGGGCAGGAGGCGGUGCAGGGCGUCCUCGAAGGAGGGGAAGGCUGUCUUGUAGUCGGGGUGGAGGACGGAGCCCUGGUGUUUGUGCAAAUGCUCCAGAAAGCUGCGGGUGGGGUGGGGCGAGACCACAGGCAGGCGGGGGUGAGGCCCGGGGAAGCUGUCCCCCACCCCAGCCCCAGCCAGACACUCGAUGGGGACUGCAGUGCGGGCUAUCAUGACUCCCACUUCACCGAAGAGGAAACUGAGGCCCGGAAAGGUGAGGUACAGCCACUCUCCUGCCAAGAGCACACGUGGAGGAAGAGCGUUGGGCGGGAGUCCCUGGGCCUGGGGGCCUCUAUUCUGUCCCCUGCCACCAGGGGGCAGCCGUCUCUGGCUGCCAGGACCCUAGGCGCCCGAAGGGGGGUGGUGCUCUCUGGUGUGCCGGCCCCAUCUCUACCCUUUCCUGGUGACCUGCAGCUCCUAUGGGCAGGGAACAGGUGUGUCUUGUGGGCUGUUGUGUCCCCAACAUCCAGCACGGGGCACACCUGGUACUUACAUCUACCACCUACCCAGAAUGGCACCUGGCCAUUCUGACCCCAGCACACCCAGCCACACAAGCCCACACCCACUUACCCACCCACCCACUUCCGAGGCUGAGGGGCCCAGGGGAUGGGAUGGCACCAGACUAAAUCGCUGCCCUCCUGAAGAUGGCAGCCCGACGGGGUCCCC
Heterocephalus glaber (naked mole-rat) is the source of this 2621-nucleotide long non-coding RNA. The record is from Ensembl. Lineage: Eukaryota; Metazoa; Chordata; Mammalia; Rodentia; Bathyergidae.